This 298-nucleotide ribosomal RNA is filed under the name uncultured soil bacterium. RNAcentral's name for it is "partial 16S ribosomal RNA". It matches the Rfam family "Bacterial small subunit ribosomal RNA", at positions 26 to 325 of the family's 1533-position model. The record is from RNAcentral.
AGAUUGAACGCUGGCGGCAUGCUUUACACAUGCAAGUCGAGCGGCAGCGCGGGGCAACCUGGCGGCGAGCGGCGAACGGGUGAGUAAAAGAUAGGAACGUAUCCGGGAGUGGGGGAUAACUAGCCGAAAGGUUAGCUAAUACCGCAUAUUCUCCGAGGAGGAAAGCGGGGGACUCGAAAGGCCUCGCGCUCGCGGAGUGGCCUAUCUCCGAUUAGCUAGUUGGUGAGGUAAACGCUCACCAAGGCGACGAUCGGUAGCGUGGUCUGAGAGGAUGAUCAGCCACACGUGGGACUGACGA